CGGGGUACUCUCCAGUUCCAUGCCUAUGAUGUAGUCAUCAGAGUUGCAAAGGAACAAGAGGAUUCAUCUGACUUAACUGGAGAUGGCUCCCUUCCCCAUUUAUUGUUCCAUUCCUAAAGCUUCCCUCCUACCGGGCUCAGUGAGAGCAGAUGGGAAGAGGCACCCACCUCAGAGGAGCCAGGAAAAGCUAGAAACGGGAGACAGAGGGAGGCCAUCUCUCCAAGUGUUGGUACCAGCCAAAUAGGAUAAAUUGUUCAUAUUAUGAUGAUGACGACAACUAUAAUGAUGAAGAGAACAUAUAGACCCAGAUGAAAAAAACAAAGGCUUUGAUUUCAAGCCAUGCUUAAGUCCCAAAGUACUCCUGUUAGAGCCAUUUA
Molecule: long non-coding RNA, 377 nt
Filed under: Delphinapterus leucas (beluga whale)
Lineage: Eukaryota; Metazoa; Chordata; Mammalia; Artiodactyla; Monodontidae
Description: lncRNA (ENSDLEG00000004629.1)
Source: RNAcentral